RNAcentral lists this unclassified non-coding RNA (1881 nucleotides) under uncultured fungus. RNAcentral describes it as "sequence contains 18S rRNA gene, ITS1, 5.8S rRNA gene, ITS2, 28S rRNA gene". The stretch from base 629 to 1881 matches the Rfam family "Eukaryotic large subunit ribosomal RNA", at positions 1 to 961 of the family's 3401-position model. Lineage: Eukaryota; Fungi. The record is from RNAcentral.
GGAAGGAUCAUUAACACUCUUUUUUUUUGAACUUUGGGAGCAAAAAUCCCGUCGUUCAAAGAAAACAUCCACCGUGAACAAACUGAAAAAAAGGGAACUUCCUUUUUUUUUCACCCCUUCAUAAAAAAAAUACUGAUCUUCCAUUGGACUGAAAACUAAAGUUGGAUUUUUUAUUCUAAGAAAAAGACAACUUUUGGCAGUGGAUAUCUUGGCUCCUGCAUCGAUGAAGAACGCAGCAAAAUGCGAUACGUCGUGUGAAUCGCAGAACUCUGUGAAUCAUCAAACCUUUGAACGCACAUUGCGGCUCGCCAGGGGGCAACUCCUGACGGGCCAUGCCUGUUUCAGAAUUGGUAACCCCUCUCAACUCCUUCACGGGGGUUGGAAUUGAGGUCGAUGCCGAUUGGCAUCUUCCUUUCAUUUGAACAAGGAAAAAAGAGCCCAUCAAAAGACAAAAGUGUUCUUCUUUUGGGGGGAGGUGCUGCUGCUAGGAAGCGAAGAAAAGUGAGCAAUCAUUUUUUUUUUUGCAACCCUGUGGUGCCUUCCCUAUCGGAAGAAGGAAUCGUUUUUGGCUUCGGGCCCUUUCUCUCUUGGGAAAAUCCCCCCCCCUUUUUUUUUGUUUUUCCCUUUCAAAUCUGAAAUCAGGCAAGAAUACCCGCUGAACUUAAGCAUAUUAUUAAGCGGAGGAAAAGAAACUAACAAGGAUUCCCCUAGUAGCAGCGAGUGAAGAGGGAACAGCUCAGGGUUGAAAUCGGAAUGGGAGCUCUCGGGCAUCUCGUUUCGAGUUGUACCUUUGAGAGGCAUGUCUUGGGUUUCCGCCAGGCAUAAGUCCCCUUCGAAUGGGGCAUCAUAGAGGGUGAAAAUCCCGUCUUUGGCCUGGACGAAGUAAAGGAGGUCCUUUCACGGCAUGUCAUCGGCGAGUCGGGUUGUUUGGGAGUACAGCCCUAAGUGGGUGGUAGGUUUCAUCUAAAGCUAAAUAUAGGCAGGAGACCGAUAGCGAACAAGUACCGCGAGGGAAAGAUGAAAAGAACUUUGAAAAGAGAGUUAAAUAGUCCUUGAAGCUGCCAAAAGGACAAGCGACUGUCCCUGUCGUAUAACUGCCAUCCAUCCGCUCGUACCGGAGGGAGACAUUCUGGCUUGUUUGCCAAGGCUCUUUGGGUCUGACAGGCAGGCUGAAUUCUUCUUGGGAACGGGUAGUGAUGGGUGGUGAGUCGGCCAAAGGUGGUUCCGUCUCUGAUUACGCGUGGAAGGCUUCUUGGAAGGUGGCCCUUGAGGGAGUCAAAUCCUUCUUGGGUUCUUAUAGCCAGGAGGUUUUUGAAGCGCCGGUACUGGGACCAUAUUGCAGCACCUUGAGUGUGUUUGCUAAGUGUGGGGUCGUCGACAAGAGCCAAAUUAUCUGCGCGUGCAAGUCGAGGGGCUUGUUCCUUUGGUCAGGGCCUUUGACUUCUCAGCGUAGUCACUUUCCUUUUGUCACGCCUGCACGGAACUUUGGCAAUUUAGGACGGAGUCAGUUGUCCCGUCUUGAAACACGGACCAAGGAGUGUAACCUAUAUGCGAGUAUUUGGGUGUUAAAACCCGCCCUAUUUAACGGGGCUCUCAAUCGAAUGCGCACUGAAAGGGAAGGCUGGCAUUAGUCAGCUGAGGUAGGAAUCGUCAUCAAGCCUUGGUGGCGAGGCACUAUCGACCGAUCCGGAGGAUUCGUCCGAAGGAUUUGAGUUUGAGCAUAUCUGUUACGACCCGAAAGACGGUGAACUAUGCCUGGGUAGGGUGAAGCCAGAGGAAACUCUGGUGGAAGCUCGUUCACGAUACUGACGUGCAAAUCGUUCGUCAAACUUGGGUAUAGGGGCGAAAGACUAAUCGAACCGUCUAGUAGCUGGUUCCCUC